AUACGGCCAUAUCAUGUUGAAACAGUAGUUCUCGUACGAUCACCGAAGUUAAGCAAGGUCGAGCCUAGUCAGUACCUAGAUGGGUGACCGCCUGGGACUACCAGGUGUCGUAA
Non-coding RNA from Acanthosepion pharaonis, 113 nucleotides. Lineage: Eukaryota; Metazoa; Mollusca; Cephalopoda; Sepiida; Sepiidae. The record is from the annotation of a GenBank genome assembly.